GACGAACGCUGGCGGCGUGCUUAACACAUGCAAGUCGAACGGAAAGGCCCUGCUUUUGUGGGGUGCUCGAGUGGCGAACGGGUGAGUAACACGUGAGUAACCUGCCCUUGACUUUGGGAUAACUUCAGGAAACUGGGGCUAAUACAGGAUAGGAGCUCCUGCUGCACGGUGUGGUUUGGAAAGUUUCGGCGGUUCGGGAUGGUCUCGCUGCUUAUCAGCUUGUUGAUGUGGUAGUGGCUUUCCAAGGCUUUGACGGAUAGCCGGCCUCAGAGGGUGACCGGCGUCAAGGCGACUACGAUACGGCCCAGACUCCUACGGGAGGCAGCAGUGGGAAAUAUUGCACAAUGGGCGGAAGCCUGAUGCAGAAACGCCGCGUGCGGGAUGACGGCCUUCGGGUUGUGAACCGCUUUCGCCUGUGACGAGGAGUGAGUGACGGUAAUGGGUAAGGAAGCACCGGCUAACUACGUG
This 468-nucleotide ribosomal RNA is filed under the name uncultured bacterium. Its description in RNAcentral is "partial 16S ribosomal RNA". It matches the Rfam family "Bacterial small subunit ribosomal RNA", at positions 28 to 507 of the family's 1533-position model. The record is from RNAcentral.